AGUAGGAUAGCUGGGUCAUAUGGUGGCUCCAUAUGAGGAAUAUCCAUAUUACUUUCCAGAGUGGUUGUACUACUUUGCAGCCUCACCAACAAU
Molecule: microRNA precursor, 93 nt
Filed under: Marmota monax (woodchuck)
Lineage: Eukaryota; Metazoa; Chordata; Mammalia; Rodentia; Sciuridae
Source: RNAcentral